Molecule: transfer RNA, 77 nt
Filed under: Salmonella enterica subsp. enterica serovar Enteritidis
Lineage: Bacteria; Pseudomonadati; Pseudomonadota; Gammaproteobacteria; Enterobacterales; Enterobacteriaceae
Description: tRNA-Ile
Rfam family: tRNA
About the family: Transfer RNA (tRNA) molecules are approximately 80 nucleotides in length.
Source: RNAcentral
AGGCUUGUAGCUCAGGUGGUUAGAGCGCACCCCUGAUAAGGGUGAGGUCGGUGGUUCAAGGACACUCACGCCUACCA